This is a long non-coding RNA of Sarcophilus harrisii (Tasmanian devil), 3022 nucleotides long. RefSeq lists it as uncharacterized. Lineage: Eukaryota; Metazoa; Chordata; Mammalia; Dasyuromorphia; Dasyuridae. The transcript has 2 exons. The record is from RefSeq and is a predicted model, not a curated record.
CCUAAACCCCCCAAUCCUCCCUCUUCCUACUAGGAAGCAUCCCCCUCCUCCCCUCCCCCCCAUUUGUGUGUGAGCAUGCGGGCAGGCGAUACUCUUUUGUUUCAACCUGACCUCUACCUCAUGGUGACCCUAUCUUGGGGGGGGGAGGAGAGAAGACGGGGUGAAGGGGAGAAAGAGGUGAGGGUGAGGGGAGACUUCUGCAGACACAGCCCUUAUACAUCAAGGUGUGCGGUAAUCCCAGCACGCAAGGUUGCUUCUUCUUAACUCCUGCUUUCCGCUCCUUCUGCCUGUUCUCUUUCCUCCCUUCUGCUUUCUCCCUCUCCCUCUCUCCCCCUUGUUCACUCUCCUCUCUCUCUCUCUCUCUCUCUCUCUCUCUCUCUCUCUCUCUCUCUCAGUUGUAAGCUUUAAAGACCUCCCUCCCUUUGCUAAGUCUGCGCUGCAGCAGGAGGGCUGAGUGGUGGUGGUGUCUGGUGGGAGGGGAGGGGGAGCGGAGGGGAUACAGAGGUGCAUGUGGGGGAAGGGACCGUGCGUGUUAGGGGAAGAGACUGAGGAUUUGUUAGCCUGUUCUUCUUUCGUGUGUGUAUGUUUUCCCCCUCUCUCCAAGUGAGGACUAAUGCCAUCCCUGGGCCUGCUCUCUUUCCCUCCCUGCAUUAGAGGUUGCCUAUAGGAGGAAGCCGAUGGCUGCAGCAUCCAGCGCAUUAUUACCUUGCGAUGCCAUGACCCUCCUCCAUGCAUCCCUAACUCUUUAAAGCUGAUUCAGCUAGCGCUCUGGAGGCUCCCCUGCUGCAACAGAAUCUCCUCACUGGUAAACCGCAACCAUUCUCAACUGCUACAGAGUUCAACUGGAUGGCUUUUUCCCAACACUGAAAGAAAGAAAGUCAAGACAUUCUCUUUCUGGGGCUCUCCUCUUUGGGAGGCAGAAGAAAUUCUGGAUUUACUAGGUAAGAGCUUCUAUUUACAAUAUCUAGUUGCCUUUUUAAUAGCCUCUCUCUCCUCAGCCCCAGUUAAUUGCUGAAUGAAUCCUUUGUCUUUAACAGAAGAGUCUUCUAACCUCAGUAUGAAAAGGAGGCAGCUUGGUGUUGUUAUCUAAGUUGUAAACUGGACAUUUGAAUUCCAGAUGGACAAGCGCUAAGCUUUGCAGGAAAGAGGAAAGGAGCAGUCUUUAUUUUAUUCUUCUCUUUUUUCUAAGUCCUCGUCUGAGGAGUAGAAAGAAUUGUAAUUUUCUAGAAUUUCUGGAUCUUUUCUUUUAAACCUGUAUUUCUGAGUCCUUCUAAUUGUUAAUGUGGGAGUGAGGGUAGGGUGGGGUAAGCAUGGAGAGGAUGUGUUAUGGUCUAUGUAUAUUUUGUGUAUAUAUUCUGUGUGGUUAAAAGUUUCAGUACGAAAUGUGUGUACUUUUCAGGGGGGAAUAAGAGGUUUUGUCAUGUUUCUCAUCCUAUUUAUGUGAAAAUUAGUUAUGAAGGGGACAAACUGCUGGAUUUCUCAUACUUCUGUCAAAGGCAACACCUUCCUAUUUCUCAUGACUAUGUAUGUAUGUUAGGACACAGAGACAUAUAGACAUAAGAAAAAAAGAAAGUGAAAGAAUAACUGAUUUAUUGGAGAAAAGAAAAGGGUGUGUGUGUGUGUGUGUGUGUGUGUGUGUGUAGCAGGAGGUUUUGAGGAAGAUGUCAUGAAAAUGGGGCAGUAACUCAGCAUCAUUAACCCAAGCCACCACUAAGUACACAUGGGGUUUGAAUUCCAAAGCAGUUUGCUGUGUUCCUCUUCAAACAUAUAAAUGCGCAUAUUGAAAACUACCUGCUUGAGAAACAUACUACUUUAUAUGCCCAUAUGAACGUGCUAAGCUAUGGAAUGUAAAGAAGUAUGUAUUUCCGGUAGGGCAUCUCUCUCAUGGGAGCAGGGUGACCUGUGUUCAAGGGAGAAAGAGACAGACAGAUUUUGUUUUUGGAAUGCCUGACAUGGCAGACUGACUGGGGAGUCAAUUGAUGAUGGUGUUCCAGUGGCUGUAUUGUUCUGUCACUUUGCCUGUGUCAGCAGGUGGAAAUGCUCAUCAGGACAUUAAAUAUUCAACGUGCUGACUGCGGCAGGCGCUUGGAAAGGCAACACCAGAAGAAAGCCCGUUGUCCGCUUCUGGUGUGUGCAGGGGCUCAGGUCAAGUGCUAGAUCUUGGGGGCUUGCAGGUUCCUGUCGUCUUCUUCCCUAUCCCCUCCUACUUUUUAGCCUAUAGAAGUCUAGGCAUUAGCAGAGUGGGGUGAAUUCUUCAAUUAGUGGGAGAAAUGUAGAAUAUAGAGUCAAACAGAAAAGGGAAUAAAGUGGAGAGAGAGAGAGAGAGAGAGAGAGAGAGAGAGAGAGAGAGAGAGAGAGAGAGAGAGAGAGAGAAGUCAAAGAGUUUCAAAACCCAGAGCAAUGUGUACUUAUGCCUUUUACUCUUAACAUUUUCAGACAUGAUCACUUUUCACCCUGGCAAAGACCCAACACAAAUGAGUUGUGCCACUUAAUGUCACACCUACCAUACACUAGAAGGAAGUGAUUAGGGAACCUAACACCCACAACCUCCAGAGUUUCUAGCUAAGACUCAAUCACAUCUAACUGUGUACUAAUCACUGUACAAAUCAUUGCUUUUUAAAAAGCAUUGUCAUUUUUCACUAUAUAUAUAUAUAUAUAUAUAUCCUAUAGGGACACUAUUAGGGAAUACUCAAGACAGCUCAGAAGAAUCUUAGCCAUACACAGGAGCCUGAACUCCAGUAUUCUGAAACUUUUUUAGACAAGAGUAUUCUAAAUCUAGAGCUUCCAAAAUGAUUUUCUCUCUACAUUUCCCCAGAUUAAACUGAGGUUGAUUUUUCCCCCACCAACAAAGUAUGGUGAGCCUUGCUUUCAUUGGAAUCAGUUUGGAAUGAUGUAAAAUCUAAAGUAAUGUUCCACACUCGGUGUGAAGAUGCUGUCCUCAAAUAUUGAUUGCCCCAGCAUAUAUUGAGACAAGGAGAGAGAGAGAGAGAGAGAGAGAGAGAGAGAGAGAGAGAGAGAGAGA